Molecule: ribosomal RNA, 816 nt
Filed under: uncultured bacterium
Lineage: Bacteria
Description: bacterial SSU rRNA
Rfam family: Bacterial small subunit ribosomal RNA
Source: RNAcentral
AGAGUUUGAUCAUGGCUCAGAAUGAACGCUGGCGGCGUGCUUAACACAUGCAAGUCGCACGAGAACGCUUCAGCUUGCUGAAGCUAGUAAAGUGGCGCACGGGUGAGUAACGCGUGGGUAAUCUACCCUCGAAUUGGGGAUAACAUCGCGAAAGAGAUGCUAAUACCGAAUGAUAUCUUAAAAGCUUCGGUUUUAAAGAUCAAAAGUGGCCUCUACUUGUAGGCUACUGUUUGAGGAUGAGCCCGCGUACCAUUAGCUUGUUGGCAGGGUAAUGGCCUACCAAGGCUACGAUGGUUAGCUGGUCUGAGAGGAUGAUCAGCCACACUGGAACUGACACACGGUCCAGACUCCUACGGGAGGCAGCAGUGAGGAAUUUUGCGCAAUGGGGGAAACCCUGACGCAGCAACGCCGCGUGAGUGAUGAAGGCUUUCGGGUCGUAAAGCUCUGUCAAGUGGGAAGAACCCACAUGGUGCUAAUAUCACCAUGUGCUGACGGUACCACUGAAGGAAGCGCCGGCUAACUCCGUGCCAGCAGCCGCGGUAAUACGGGGGGUGCAAGCGUUAUUCGGAAUUACUGGGCGUAAAGAGCGCGUAGGCGGUCCCAUAAGUCAGAUGUGAAAUCCCGGGGCUUAACCCCGGAAGUGCAUUUGAAACUAUGGGACUUGAGUAUGGGAGAGGGAAGUGGAAUUCCUGGUGUAGCGGUGAAAUGCGUAGAUAUCAGGAGGAACAUCGGUGGCGAAGGCGACUUCCUGGACCAAUACUGACGCUGAGGCGCGAAGGCGUGGGGAGCAAACAGGAUUAGAUACCCUCGUAGUCC